RNAcentral lists this small RNA (127 nucleotides) under Marmota monax (woodchuck). The record is from RNAcentral. Lineage: Eukaryota; Metazoa; Chordata; Mammalia; Rodentia; Sciuridae.
GCUGGGCGUGGUGGCACAUGCCUGUAAUCCUAGCGGUUUGGGAGGCUGAGAUAGGAGGAUAGUGAGUUCAAAGCCAGCCUCAGCAAUUUAGAGAGGUGCUAAGCAACUCAGUGAGACCCUGUCUCCA